UCAUGGCUCAGUUGGUUAGAGCGCCGCCCUGUCACGGCGGAGGUCGGGGGUUCGAGUCCCCCUGG
RNAcentral lists this transfer RNA (65 nucleotides) under pig gut metagenome. It matches the Rfam family "tRNA", at positions 6 to 65 of the family's 71-position model. From Rfam's summary of the family: Transfer RNA (tRNA) molecules are approximately 80 nucleotides in length. Their secondary structure includes four short double-helical elements and three loops (D, anti-codon, and T loops). The record is from RNAcentral.